CAGCAGCCGCGGUAAUACGUAGGGGGCGAGCGUUGUCCGGAAUUAUUGGGCGUAAAGAGCUCGUAGGCGGCUUGUCACGUCGGAUGUGAAAGCCCGAGGCUUAACCUCGGGUCUGCAUUCGAUACGGGCUAGCUAGAGUGUGGUAGGGGAGAUCGGAAUUCCUGGUGUAGCGGUGAAAUGCGCAGAUAUCAGGAGGAACACCGGUGGCGAAGGCGGAUCUCUGGGCCAUUACUGACGCUGAGGAGCGAAAGCGUGGGGAGCGAACAGGAUUAGAUACCCUGGUAGUCCACGCCGUAAACGUUGGGAACUAGGUGUUGGCGACAUUCCACGUCGUCGGUGCCGCAGCUAACGCAUUAAGUUCCCCGCCUGGGGAGUACGGCCGCAAGGCUAAAACUCAAAGGAAUUGACGG
This 410-nucleotide ribosomal RNA is filed under the name uncultured bacterium. Its description in RNAcentral is "bacterial SSU rRNA". It matches the Rfam family "Bacterial small subunit ribosomal RNA", at positions 509 to 916 of the family's 1533-position model. The record is from RNAcentral.